UACAGAGGUCCCAAGCGUUGUUCGGAUUCACUGGGCGUAAAGGGUGCGUAGGCGGCGGAGUAAGUUGGGUGUGAAAUCCCGAGGCUCAACCUCGGAAUUGCAUUCAAUACUGCUUCGCUCGAGUACUGGAGAGGAGGCUGGAAUUUACGGUGUAGCAGUGAAAUGCGUAGAUAUCGUAAGGAAGGCCGGUGGCGAAAGCGAGCCUCUGGACAGUUACUGACGCUGAUGCACGAAGGCCAGGGGAGCAAACGGG
Molecule: ribosomal RNA, 253 nt
Filed under: uncultured bacterium
Lineage: Bacteria
Description: partial 16S ribosomal RNA
Rfam family: Bacterial small subunit ribosomal RNA
Source: RNAcentral